This 617-nucleotide ribosomal RNA is filed under the name Merodon auripes. RNAcentral's name for it is "eukaryotic LSU rRNA". The stretch from base 402 to 617 matches the Rfam family "Eukaryotic large subunit ribosomal RNA", at positions 665 to 825 of the family's 3401-position model. Lineage: Eukaryota; Metazoa; Arthropoda; Insecta; Diptera; Syrphidae. The record is from RNAcentral.
AGUACGUGAAACUGCUUAGAGGUUAAGCCCGAUGAACCUGAAUAUCCAUUAUGGAAAAUUCAACAUUAAUAUUAUAAUAUUUAUUUAUAAAUAAUUAUAAAAAUAGUGUGCAAUUUUUCCAUAUAAGGACAUUGUAAUCUGUUAAUGUAAUAAAUAUUUAUCAUAAGAUUCAAUAAAUAAAAGUUUAUUCAAAUUAGUUAUUUUCCGAUUUCUAACAUAGAAUAAAUUUAAUUGAAUUUGAUAAAUCAUUGACAGAUUUAUUUAUAUAUAGUGCUUAAAUUCUUAAUUGAAUUUUACAAUAAUUUAUAAAUGUAUUUUCAUUUAUUUAUUUAUUGUAUGCACUUAUAUGAUUAACAAUGCUAUAGAUUCAGGAUACCUUCGGGACCCGUCUUGAAACACGGACCAAGGAGUCUAACAUAUGUGCAAGUAAUUGGGUAUUUUUAAUAAAACCCAAAGGCAAAAUUAACUUAACUGUUUUAUGGGAUUAGUUUAUAUUUUAUUAUGAAAUAUUAAUUCAAUCCCGGGGCGUUCUAUAUAGUUAUGUAUAAUAAUAUUUAUAUUAUUUAUGCCUCUAACUAGAGCGUACCUUGAGCAUAUAUGCUGUGACCCGAAAGAUG